Molecule: non-coding RNA, 24 nt
Filed under: Arabidopsis thaliana (thale cress)
Lineage: Eukaryota; Viridiplantae; Streptophyta; Magnoliopsida; Brassicales; Brassicaceae
Source: RNAcentral
GAUAUUAGCAUUCUCAAUCCCACU